UAAAGGUCCUUACACACCAGGCGCGAAUUCGCCAGGCAAAUUAUUCGCCUUUAUUCGCCUUUUUUUAAAACAGCAUAAAGUCAAUGCAAGCUUCCACACCGGCGGCGAUUUUUCCGCGGGGCGAAAAGCCUCUUUUAUUUUUUCGCUCUUGUGUCGAAUUUUUCGGAGAUUCGCAGGCGAAUAUCUGGACCUGCUAGACCUCUGGCCAAUCAAAAGUCAUGUUGAUGAUGACGUCACAGACCCAUGCGGCUGCAGUUCACACGACACACACCACCACUGGCACCAAGAGCAACAAUGGGGGAGAGUGUGUACCACAGAGUGGUCACCCGGUGUGUAUAAGCGAAAGCGAUUUUUCGGACCGGCGAAUAUUUUCACAUUUUCGUCUCGCUUUUUCGCGUCCCUCGCAAAUUCGCUGGUGUGUAAGGACCUUGAGAGUUA
This is a non-coding RNA of Xyrichtys novacula (pearly razorfish), 438 nucleotides long. Lineage: Eukaryota; Metazoa; Chordata; Actinopteri; Labriformes; Labridae. The record is from the annotation of a GenBank genome assembly.